CUGUACUACCGAUAACCGUUUGAGAGAAGGGAUGACACAGUAGGAUAAGCUAAGCACACUGUUGGUUAUGUGUGCCCAAGCAUUGAGGCAGUCAAAGUAGGCAAAUCCGCUUUGAUAAUGCUGGGAUGUGAUGGGGAGCGAAAUUUAGUAGCGAAGUAGCUGAUUUCACACUGUCAAGAAAAGUCUCUAUCGAGGUUAAAGGUACCCGUACCGCAAACCGACACAGGUGGGUGAGGAGAGUAUCCUAAGGCCAGCGAGAGAACUGUUGUUAAGGAACUCGGCAAAAUGACCCCGUAACUUAGGGAUAAGGGGUGCCACCAUCAGGUGGCCGCAGAGAAUAGGCCCAAGCGACUGUUUACCAAAAACAUAGGUUUCUGCUAAGUCGCAAGACGAUGUAUAGGAGCUGACGCCUGCCCGGUGCUGGAAGGUUAAGGGGAUCUGUUAGAGCAAUCGAAGCAGUGAACUUAAGCCCCAGUAAACGGCGGCCGUAACUAUAACGGUCCUAAGGUAGCGAAAUUCCUUGUCGGGUAAGUUCCGACCCGCACGAAAGGCGUAACGAUUUGGGCACUGUC
This 572-nucleotide ribosomal RNA is filed under the name Clostridioides difficile. Its description in RNAcentral is "bacterial LSU rRNA". It matches the Rfam family "Bacterial large subunit ribosomal RNA", at positions 1439 to 2020 of the family's 2925-position model. The record is from RNAcentral. Lineage: Bacteria; Bacillati; Bacillota; Clostridia; Peptostreptococcales; Peptostreptococcaceae.